Molecule: ribosomal RNA, 459 nt
Filed under: uncultured bacterium
Lineage: Bacteria
Description: partial 16S ribosomal RNA
Rfam family: Bacterial small subunit ribosomal RNA
Source: RNAcentral
CCUACGGGGGGCAGCAGUGAGGAAUAUUGGUCAAUGGUCGGGAGACUGAACCAGCCAAGCCGCGUGAGGGAGGAAGGUACAGAGUAUCGUAAACCUCUUUUGUCAGGGAACAAAGGCGGGGACGUGUCCCCGGCUGAGUGUACCUGACGAACAAGCAUCGGCUAACUCCGUGCCAGCAGCCGCGGUAAUCCGGAGGAUGCGAGCGUUAUCCGGAUUUAUUGGGUUUAAAGGGUGCGCAGGCGGUCUGUUAAGUCAGCGGUCAAAGCCCGGGGCUCAACCCCGGCCCGCCGUUGAAACUGGCAGUCUCGAGUGGGAGAGAAGUAGGCGGAAUGCGCGGUGUAGCGGUGAAAUGCAUAGAUAGCGCGCAGAACUCCGAUUGCGAAGGCAGCAUGCCGGCUCCACACUGACGCUGAGGCACGAAAGCGUGGGUAUCGAACAGGAUUAGAUACCCCUGUAGUC